Molecule: non-coding RNA, 3421 nt
Organism: Petromyzon marinus (sea lamprey)
Lineage: Eukaryota; Metazoa; Chordata; Hyperoartia; Petromyzontiformes; Petromyzontidae
Source: RefSeq, a predicted model, not a curated record
AGUUUUUUUUGUGCCAGAUAAAAGGGUAAAAACCUAUUACUAUAUCUUGCUACUGGCAAAGAAGGUCUCAUAAAGAAAUGUAACUGUGAAAACAACAAAGGGGGCAGCCGUUCCUGCGGCCGAUCAGAGACAAUAGCCGAUGACGUCAUCGCCGUUGUGAGGCUGAGCGGUGUCGCGCUCGCAGGCGAACAACGACGACGCAGGCGCAAAUCUAACUCUUUUUAUUAUUACACCCCCCCCCCCCCGAACGUUUUUAACUAAGUUAAAGGGUACACGUAAACAGUACGACGUACAACUAAACUUUAUCUAAAAACAUGUAAUGCAGACAAUUUGCAAGUGUUAAAUAUCGACGUUCGAAAUGUCGAUUAGUGAAUAACCGCAAAGAUCAUGAGGCUCACAAGAAGCUUUCUUGCCGCAGCGGCAUAACGUAUUUCGCCUCUCACGACGGACAUCCCGCGUUCAAAUCCAGACCUUUAAACGGUUCAAUUUUUCGUCUAUUUAGACAAACGUGAUGACGUCAGCACGUACUACUGCAGUGCAACGUGCGCGCCAGUGCAAUCACGACAGCGGACGUAGCCCUGUGUGGGAGACGCGGUGGCUUGGCUGGCAAAGCAGAGAGUCCAGCAAUGUGAAGCGGACCUGGGUUCAACAUCCCCACCCCACGUCGAGAAGCGAAAACUAAAUUCGCACAUAGACGAGACUUCAAACAAGGCGAGGUGCUUCACAGGUGAAUGACAUGGACCAUUUGAAGUUUACAUAAAGGUACACGAGUAUAACCAACAGACAAUUAUAUAUAGAUGUGCAAUUAAAUGAGUGUAGCAAUAAAACAAAUAUACCAUCUUGUAAUAUAUAUGUCCACUUAGAUUUCGUAAGCAUUGCCAUAAUUAUAUUCAUAAUUGCAGAUAUUUUUACAAUUUUAUAUAAAACCACAUCAAUCACAAUUUAUUACAAAUACAUGAGGAUGUAUGCAGACAAUAUGCAAUGAAAAUAUAUGUAAGGAAGUAACUAUUUUAAUACCUUGCACGUGACAAAAAGUAAUGAAGCUUAUCCAGCGACAAAUUAACAGGGAUUUUUCCUCCAAAGAACAUUUUCACUCACUAACCUUUACACGGCUUUGCUUGAUCCCCUCCACAAUCUGCUCCAGCUGUUUCAGAAACUGCUCUCUGCCACCUUGUGAAGCCAUGGCCCUUUGGAAAUCACAAUGCACAGGGACCUUUCUUACAACUGCGAUAAAAAUGGCGACACCAAUUGCCCAGCUAUUCCAAAUGACUUGGCGACAUUGUUUCUCUACCAACUGUAACCUGACAUAGAUUGAAAAAAUAUUGUCUUUGCUCCAAUCCUGAUGCAAGAUAAGUAUAAUUACGUAGUUUUCAAGUAUUGUCAUCAGUGUUUUGUCCUGGCUAAAGUAAAGCUGAUGUUCUCUCACAACAUCGGUUGAUCUGUCAGUUAUAUUAAGUAGAGCCAAAUGUGGUUAAUAUGUUUUGCAUACGAGGGUUGUGGAUGCAGUAUUAGAAAAUAAGUGUCAUUGUUAAGUUAUACAUUUUUUUAACAAUACAUGGUAUAACCAGUCACCUAUACAUACUUACUGCUGGAAGUUGUCAUGGAUGGAAUUCAGCAAAUUAACCUAAGAGACAGUAAAAUGUGUUAUGUUCAUUUUACGAAUAGGCAACUCAUUUAAAUAUAAAACAAUUAAAUACAACUAUACAUUUUCCAUUGUAUUAUCUUAUUGUUAAUUCAUUUGUCCAUCUUAUUAAUAAUUUGUCUUUUUGGGUUUAGUUUGUUGUCCUUCCCUCGCACCUUUGAUUAGCACGGUUGGCUACGUAUGGUGCAAAAGAAGUUCAACAUUAUCUGCAAUAUACAAGUGAGGCACAUUACACUAUAUUUUAGUUACAAUAAUCAAUACCAUCAACACAUUUAGUUGGAAAGGUCCUUCCAGUAAAAAAAUGGAUGCCAACUGUGCAAAUUAUGUUAAACUAUACAAACAAAAAAGUCAGUCAGUAGUCUUUAUUUAACCAGGCAGCUAAAUAAACCCAUCGAGACACAAGACACAUUGCUGCCUCUUUUUCAAAUGGUGAUCUGGGAAGGUGACAAUGUUGAUUCCUUUUAAUUCAAUACUGGAAAAAUAACCUUGUUGUAAUUAUUCACAUUUACAUGCACAAACUAAUAUUCUGAAUAAACCCGAUCAAAGGUAUUACUUAUAGUUGAUACACUUUUUUUCAAUAUAACAUAGCAUACCUCUUUUUCCAGAUACAGCUUCUUGUCAUCCAGCGUGUUGUACAAAGUAUAAAAUUGCUUCGUCUCUUUAUGGGUGGCAGCCACUACACAUCGGAGAAAAUGUGGAUUUCAUAUACUCCAGACCACAAUACAGCACGGGAUAUUAUUAACACAUGGUAAAUGUUAUAAAAUAAUAAAGCUCACAUGAAUACUCUUCUUCAGCACCAAUGCAUACACAUUUUAGCAUAAAACUACACUGGAAAUCGUUAAAAUAUAGCAAAAUUGGUUGAGAUUUCAGGUAUCUUCAGUCAAACCUAAUGUGGUUAAUGCUUCACAAUCUUUAACACAGGAGGGUGAAGUACUUAUUGUUUUGUAGGUGCCUGUAAAUGCUUGUUCUUUUUGUUAUAUUUCAUUAUGAUCAUUUCUUCCUACCCUGGCUGUAGAGCUCCACAAAGCGACGCUGGUACUGAGUCAGCUCAGCCCGGCUGGGGACUUCAUCAAUCUUGCGCUGCAAGAUCGCAAUCUCUCGGUUUCUCCUCCCCUAAAAAAAGAAUCACACCAAAAUCAAGCACAAGGAAUUAUAUGUUUCGUAUAAUCACUAUGCAUUCUAUGAGUAUAUCAUUAUUGUGUUUACCGAGUGCAAUUUUAUCCAUUUGUGCUUUGAUUCAACAGUUUGUGUUACUUGCCAAGAGCAUGCGUAUCUUCUGCAGUUUGUCGAUAUCCGUGCGGUAUUGCUUUUCAAUCAACUGGUCUUGUUCCUAAAAAAACAGUUAUUGUUUAAUUAUAAAGUACUAAUAUGAUUGGAUUGGCAUACAUAUGCUUUCAGAGUAUCUGUACUCAAUUUGCUGUGCAAUGUAAAGUUUAAUUUUAAUGAACACUAUAAAUUAUAUAUUGUACAAUACAUAAAUUAUAAAUUAAAAUCUUUAAAUCACUUAUGUACUUUCUAUGCUUUUGCAUUAUUGUGUUCAUGGUAUUUCAAUAAAAAAUUGUCAUAGAUUUAAAUAACUUUAAGUGAUUAAAUUCCAUUUUUCUAAAUGCCAAGCACGGCUCAGCAGUUUAUCAAGUACUUCUUUUUAAAAAAUGAGGGCAAUUUAUGCAAAUGCAGAUUAUCUCCUUACAGCCUCUUCUCCAGUCGUAUUGUUGGUCUGAAGCUUUAACUCUUCAAUGCUGCUCUGUAGACGCGUCAAUUCUUCCUAUUAAAAAAAAA